RNAcentral lists this ribosomal RNA (857 nucleotides) under uncultured bacterium. RNAcentral's name for it is "bacterial SSU rRNA". It matches the Rfam family "Bacterial small subunit ribosomal RNA", at positions 69 to 898 of the family's 1533-position model. The record is from RNAcentral.
AGAAGUACGUAGCACUACGUAUUGUAAAGUGGCGCACGGGUGAGUAACACGUGGGUAAUCUGCCCUUGAGUUUGGGAUAACCCCGCGAAAGCGGGGCUAAUACCGAAUAAGACCACGGGGACCAAAGUCCCUGAGGUAAAAGAUGGCCUCUAUUUAUAAGCUAUCACUUGAGGAUGAGCCCGCGGCCCAUUAGCUAGUUGGUAGGGUAACGGCCUACCAAGGCUAUGAUGGGUAGCUGGUCUGAGAGGACGAUCAGCCACACUGGAACUGAGACACGGUCCAGACUCCUACGGGAGGCAGCAGUGGGGAAUAUUGCGCAAUGGGCGAAAGCCUGACGCAGCAACGCCGCGUGGGGGAUGAAGGUUUUCGGAUUGUAAACCCCUUUUCGACCGGAACGAAUCUCCUCCUGGUAAAUAAUCAGGAGGAUCGACGGUACCGGGAGAAGAAGCCACGGCUAACUCUGUGCCAGCAGCCGCGGUAAGACAGAGGUGGCGAGCGUUGUUCGGAUUUAUUGGGCGUAAAGCGAACGCAGGUGGUUUGGUAAGUCAGGGGUGAAAGUCCACAGCUUAACUGUGGCACUGCCUUUGAUACUGCCUUUCUUGAGUGCAUGAGGGGGAAGCGGAAUUCCGAGUGUAGAGGUGAAAUUCGUAGAUAUUCGGAGGAACACCGGUGGCGAAGGCGGCUUCCUGGCAUGUAACUGACACUCAUGUUCGAAAGCGUGGGUAGCAAACAGGAUUAGAUACCCUGGUAGUCCACGCCCUAAACGAUGGGCACUAGGUGUGGGAGGUAUCGACCCCUUCCGUGCCGCAGCUAACGCAUUAAGUGCCCCGCCUGGGGAGUACGGCCGCAAGGUUGAA